CGGAACAUCAGGCUGGAGUCAGAAUUCACCACAAGACCCGAGGAGCUAAGCAUGAGAACGAGGCAGCAGACUGGAGACAGAAAGGUCCAGAAACCACUGCUCCGGCCCCAGACUGUCCACUUCUUGGUACAAGGAGCCCAGGAAUGGAAAACCACACCAGCCAGGUUUUCUGCGACACGCUGCCAAACCAACCCUGACCCAAACACAGGCCACGGAAACGUGGGCACAAGUCCUAUGAACAGGCCUGCUACAGACCCAGAUCCACAGCAGCAACCAUGACUGCCUCUGGCCUCCAGAAGCUCGUGUUCCAGGGCAGAGGGAGAGUCAACACGUAGGCCAGCCGGCAGACAGGGCCACGCCGAGUGUUUACAGAGCGGGGUGACGUGGACAAGGACAACACGGGGACACAGUCUCGCCAAGGAGACAACGUUUGAGCUGAUGGCCCAGAGACAGGCAGGUGGCAGCCUUACAAACACCUGGGAGAUAGAUGACAGUCCCCCACAGGAAGAACGGGGGGGAGGGGGGCUCCAUUUGUGCAGAUCCGCAAACAGGAAAAAUGGAGGGAAAUCACCCAGGGAGAAGGCCUGCACACUUUUUCCUAAGGGAACUUACUUUCCCCAUCAUGACAGGAAGUCACUGGAAGGGGUCAAGCAGGCGUUACCUGAUGGGACGCGCCCCUCGAAGGAUGUCUGCAGUGACCCCAUGAGGGUAGACCACACGGGAGCAAGUCUGGACCCCAGAAAGCCAAUGAAGAACUCCUGGGGCUCAGAGAGGGGGAUCAGCGGGAGAAGAUGGGAACAGAUUUGGAGGAGCUGGCAGGCCUCGUGCGGUGAGCAAGGGACGUCAGCAGGCACUUCUGGAGACCCGCCACGGGGAGCGUAAGCAGAUGGGGAACAGAGCGGCUGGUGCACCCGGGCCUAGUGCUGCGAGAGGCUCCCUGCAGCCGAAACCCGGCUCUGACGACGCUUUCCUCCUGGGACCUGGGGACCGCUAAGGACAGCCCGGCACAGCAUGCCAGCCGCUCAGCACCCCAGCGCCCCCCAGCCAUGGUUCACGCCAGGCUCCUCUGUGGCCUGAACCACGUGAAGGUGGGCAUGUGGCCCCCACAGUGUGGCAGGAGCCAUGCCCCUUCCUUCCUCUGGCAACCCUGCUUAUCUCAGAGCGUGGGCUUCCUGGUUUUCAUUGUUUACUGUGUAAAUAUUGGGCUGGGGGAUAAUAUGAGACUCAUCAAAAGAUUUCAAUAACCUAGUAACAGAUUACCCUGUCGGUGCUAGAAAACAAGAGAAAGAUUUCCUUGGCCCUAAAAAACUAAACAUGAUAGUAGUUUUGACAUCUCAGGACCUGAGAUCUACCUUUAAGAAAGAGAAAUAAAAAAUACAAAAAUGUA
Molecule: long non-coding RNA, 1387 nt
Organism: Prionailurus viverrinus (fishing cat)
Lineage: Eukaryota; Metazoa; Chordata; Mammalia; Carnivora; Felidae
Exons: 2
Source: RefSeq, a predicted model, not a curated record